Molecule: ribosomal RNA, 461 nt
Filed under: uncultured bacterium
Lineage: Bacteria
Description: partial 16S ribosomal RNA
Rfam family: Bacterial small subunit ribosomal RNA
Source: RNAcentral
CCUACGGGAGGCAGCAGUGAGGAAUAUUGGUCAAUGGGCUUACGCCUGAACCAGCCAAGUCGCGUGAGGGAAGACUGCCCUAUGGGUUGUAAACCUCUUUUGUCAGGGAGCAACGCCGGCUACGUGUAGCCGGACUGAGAGUACCUGAAGAAAAAGCAUCGGCUAACUCCGUGCCAGCAGCCGCGGUAAUACGGAGGAUGCGAGCGUUAUCCGGAUUUUUCGGGUUUAAAGGGAGCGUAGGUGGAUUGUUAAGUCAGUUGUGAAAGUUUGCGGCUCAACCGUAAAAUUGCAGUUGAAACUGGCAGUCUAGAGUACAGUAGAGGUGGGCGGAAUUCGUGGUGUAGCGGUGAAAUGCGUAGAUAUCACGAAGAACUCCGAUUGCGAAGGCAGCUCACUGGACUGCAACUGACACUGAUGCUCGAAAGUGUGGGUAUCAAACGGGAUUAGAUACCCGAGUAGUC